This 2931-nucleotide ribosomal RNA is filed under the name Escherichia coli. RNAcentral describes it as "23S ribosomal RNA". It matches the Rfam family "Bacterial large subunit ribosomal RNA". Lineage: Bacteria; Pseudomonadati; Pseudomonadota; Gammaproteobacteria; Enterobacterales; Enterobacteriaceae. The record is from RNAcentral.
GGGUUGUGAGGUUAAGCGACUAAGCGUACACGGUGGAUGCCCUGGCAGUCAGAGGCGAUGAAGGACGUGCUAAUCUGCGAUAAGCGUCGGUAAGGUGAUAUGAACCGUUAUAACCGGCGAUUUCCGAAUGGGGAAACCCAGUGUGUUUCGACACACUAUCAUUAACUGAAUCCAUAGGUUAAUGAGGCGAACCGGGGGAACUGAAACAUCUAAGUACCCCGAGGAAAAGAAAUCAACCGAGAUUCCCCCAGUAGCGGCGAGCGAACGGGGAGCAGCCCAGAGCCUGAAUCAGUGUGUGUGUUAGUGGAAGCGUCUGGAAAGGCGCGCGAUACAGGGUGACAGCCCCGUACACAAAAAUGCACAUACUGUGAGCUCGAUGAGUAGGGCGGGACACGUGGUAUCCUGUCUGAAUAUGGGGGGACCAUCCUCCAAGGCUAAAUACUCCUGACUGACCGAUAGUGAACCAGUACCGUGAGGGAAAGGCGAAAAGAACCCCGGCGAGGGGAGUGAAAAAGAACCUGAAACCGUGUACGUACAAGCAGUGGGAGCACGCUUAGGCGUGUGACUGCGUACCUUUUGUAUAAUGGGUCAGCGACUUAUAUUCUGUAGCAAGGUUAACCGAAUAGGGGAGCCGAAGGGAAACCGAGUCUUAACUGGGCGUUAAGUUGCAGGGUAUAGACCCGAAACCCGGUGAUCUAGCCAUGGGCAGGUUGAAGGUUGGGUAACACUAACUGGAGGACCGAACCGACUAAUGUUGAAAAAUUAGCGGAUGACUUGUGGCUGGGGGUGAAAGGCCAAUCAAACCGGGAGAUAGCUGGUUCUCCCCGAAAGCUAUUUAGGUAGCGCCUCGUGAAUUCAUCUCCGGGGGUAGAGCACUGUUUCGGCAAGGGGGUCAUCCCGACUUACCAACCCGAUGCAAACUGCGAAUACCGGAGAAUGUUAUCACGGGAGACACACGGCGGGUGCUAACGUCCGUCGUGAAGAGGGAAACAACCCAGACCGCCAGCUAAGGUCCCAAAGUCAUGGUUAAGUGGGAAACGAUGUGGGAAGGCCCAGACAGCCAGGAUGUUGGCUUAGAAGCAGCCAUCAUUUAAAGAAAGCGUAAUAGCUCACUGGUCGAGUCGGCCUGCGCGGAAGAUGUAACGGGGCUAAACCAUGCACCGAAGCUGCGGCAGCGACGCUUAUGCGUUGUUGGGUAGGGGAGCGUUCUGUAAGCCUGCGAAGGUGUGCUGUGAGGCAUGCUGGAGGUAUCAGAAGUGCGAAUGCUGACAUAAGUAACGAUAAAGCGGGUGAAAAGCCCGCUCGCCGGAAGACCAAGGGUUCCUGUCCAACGUUAAUCGGGGCAGGGUGAGUCGACCCCUAAGGCGAGGCCGAAAGGCGUAGUCGAUGGGAAACAGGUUAAUAUUCCUGUACUUGGUGUUACUGCGAAGGGGGGACGGAGAAGGCUAUGUUGGCCGGGCGACGGUUGUCCCGGUUUAAGCGUGUAGGCUGGUUUUCCAGGCAAAUCCGGAAAAUCAAGGCUGAGGCGUGAUGACGAGGCACUACGGUGCUGAAGCAACAAAUGCCCUGCUUCCAGGAAAAGCCUCUAAGCAUCAGGUAACAUCAAAUCGUACCCCAAACCGACACAGGUGGUCAGGUAGAGAAUACCAAGGCGCUUGAGAGAACUCGGGUGAAGGAACUAGGCAAAAUGGUGCCGUAACUUCGGGAGAAGGCACGCUGAUAUGUAGGUGAAGUCCCUCGCGGAUGGAGCUGAAAUCAGUCGAAGAUACCAGCUGGCUGCAACUGUUUAUUAAAAACACAGCACUGUGCAAACACGAAAGUGGACGUAUACGGUGUGACGCCUGCCCGGUGCCGGAAGGUUAAUUGAUGGGGUUAGCGCAAGCGAAGCUCUUGAUCGAAGCCCCGGUAAACGGCGGCCGUAACUAUAACGGUCCUAAGGUAGCGAAAUUCCUUGUCGGGUAAGUUCCGACCUGCACGAAUGGCGUAAUGAUGGCCAGGCUGUCUCCACCCGAGACUCAGUGAAAUUGAACUCGCUGUGAAGAUGCAGUGUACCCGCGGCAAGACGGAAAGACCCCGUGAACCUUUACUAUAGCUUGACACUGAACAUUGAGCCUUGAUGUGUAGGAUAGGUGGGAGGCUUUGAAGUGUGGACGCCAGUCUGCAUGGAGCCGACCUUGAAAUACCACCCUUUAAUGUUUGAUGUUCUAACGUUGACCCGUAAUCCGGGUUGCGGACAGUGUCUGGUGGGUAGUUUGACUGGGGCGGUCUCCUCCUAAAGAGUAACGGAGGAGCACGAAGGUUGGCUAAUCCUGGUCGGACAUCAGGAGGUUAGUGCAAUGGCAUAAGCCAGCUUGACUGCGAGCGUGACGGCGCGAGCAGGUGCGAAAGCAGGUCAUAGUGAUCCGGUGGUUCUGAAUGGAAGGGCCAUCGCUCAACGGAUAAAAGGUACUCCGGGGAUAACAGGCUGAUACCGCCCAAGAGUUCAUAUCGACGGCGGUGUUUGGCACCUCGAUGUCGGCUCAUCACAUCCUGGGGCUGAAGUAGGUCCCAAGGGUAUGGCUGUUCGCCAUUUAAAGUGGUACGCGAGCUGGGUUUAGAACGUCGUGAGACAGUUCGGUCCCUAUCUGCCGUGGGCGCUGGAGAACUGAGGGGGGCUGCUCCUAGUACGAGAGGACCGGAGUGGACGCAUCACUGGUGUUCGGGUUGUCAUGCCAAUGGCACUGCCCGGUAGCUAAAUGCGGAAGAGAUAAGUGCUGAAAGCAUCUAAGCACGAAACUUGCCCCGAGAUGAGUUCUCCCUGACCCUUUAAGGGUCCUGAAGGAACGUUGAAGACGACGACGUUGAUAGGCCGGGUGUGUAAGCGCAGCGAUGCGUUGAGCUAACCGGUACUAAUGAACCGUGAGGCUUAACCUUACAACGCCGAAGGUGUUU